Molecule: long non-coding RNA, 250 nt
Filed under: Phoenix dactylifera (date palm)
Lineage: Eukaryota; Viridiplantae; Streptophyta; Magnoliopsida; Arecales; Arecaceae
Description: long non-coding RNA (PDAC_LNC011832)
Source: RNAcentral
UCGGGUCUAGAAAACUAGGUAAUUAUGAAAUGAAAGCAGACCCAGAACUCAAAAAUGUUAUGUCCAACCUAGUGAAUGGGAUGAACAAUUUAAGUAAAAAGUUUGAUGCUUUUACUGUUUCCACUAGUUCGAGUUCAUACAAAGAGUCAAAUCCCAUCAUGAAAGUGGAACACGAGUCAUAUAGUUUGUGUGUCUUGUGUAACAGUCCAGAGCAUCUAGUGGAGUGCUGCCCUAAUCUGCCCAUCAUAAA